This 1349-nucleotide ribosomal RNA is filed under the name Curtobacterium oceanosedimentum. RNAcentral describes it as "bacterial SSU rRNA". It matches the Rfam family "Bacterial small subunit ribosomal RNA", at positions 75 to 1436 of the family's 1533-position model. Lineage: Bacteria; Bacillati; Actinomycetota; Actinomycetes; Micrococcales; Microbacteriaceae. The record is from RNAcentral.
CCAGCUUGCUGGGUGGAUUAGUGGCGAACGGGUGAGUAACACGUGAGUAACCUGCCCCUGACUCUGGGAUAAGCGUUGGAAACGACGUCUAAUACUGGAUAUGACUGCCGGCCGCAUGGUCUGGUGGUGGAAAGAUUUUUUGGUUGGGGAUGGACUCGCGGCCUAUCAGCUUGUUGGUGAGGUAAUGGCUCACCAAGGCGACGACGGGUAGCCGGCCUGAGAGGGUGACCGGCCACACUGGGACUGAGACACGGCCCAGACUCCUACGGGAGGCAGCAGUGGGGAAUAUUGCACAAUGGGCGAAAGCCUGAUGCAGCAACGCCGCGUGAGGGAUGACGGCCUUCGGGUUGUAAACCUCUUUUAGUAGGGAAGAAGCGAAAGUGACGGUACCUGCAGAAAAAGCACCGGCUAACUACGUGCCAGCAGCCGCGGUAAUACGUAGGGUGCAAGCGUUGUCCGGAAUUAUUGGGCGUAAAGAGCUCGUAGGCGGUUUGUCGCGUCUGCUGUGAAAUCCCGAGGCUCAACCUCGGGCUUGCAGUGGGUACGGGCAGACUAGAGUGCGGUAGGGGAGAUUGGAAUUCCUGGUGUAGCGGUGGAAUGCGCAGAUAUCAGGAGGAACACCGAUGGCGAAGGCAGAUCUCUGGGCCGUAACUGACGCUGAGGAGCGAAAGCGUGGGGAGCGAACAGGAUUAGAUACCCUGGUAGUCCACGCCGUAAACGUUGGGCGCUAGAUGUAGGGACCUUUCCACGGUUUCUGUGUCGUAGCUAACGCAUUAAGCGCCCCGCCUGGGGAGUACGGCCGCAAGGCUAAAACUCAAAGGAAUUGACGGGGGCCCGCACAAGCGGCGGAGCAUGCGGAUUAAUUCGAUGCAACGCGAAGAACCUUACCAAGGCUUGACAUACACCGGAAACGGCCAGAGAUGGUCGCCCCCUUGUGGUCGGUGUACAGGUGGUGCAUGGUUGUCGUCAGCUCGUGUCGUGAGAUGUUGGGUUAAGUCCCGCAACGAGCGCAACCCUCGUUCUAUGUUGCCAGCGCGUUAUGGCGGGGACUCAUAGGAGACUGCCGGGGUCAACUCGGAGGAAGGUGGGGAUGACGUCAAAUCAUCAUGCCCCUUAUGUCUUGGGCUUCACGCAUGCUACAAUGGCCGGUACAAAGGGCUGCGAUACCGUAAGGUGGAGCGAAUCCCAAAAAGCCGGUCUCAGUUCGGAUUGAGGUCUGCAACUCGACCUCAUGAAGUCGGAGUCGCUAGUAAUCGCAGAUCAGCAACGCUGCGGUGAAUACGUUCCCGGGCCUUGUACACACCGCCCGUCAAGUCAUGAAAGUCGGUAACACCCGAAGCCGGUGGCCU